This is a long non-coding RNA of Mesocricetus auratus (golden hamster), 665 nucleotides long. RefSeq lists it as uncharacterized. NCBI's taxonomy places the organism in Eukaryota, Metazoa, Chordata, Mammalia, Rodentia, Cricetidae. The record is from RefSeq and is a predicted model, not a curated record. The transcript is spliced from 3 exons.
UCUUUGUUAUUUGAAUCCUAUCACAGAAAACUGGAUAAAAAACCCUCACUUAGAGAACACAUACCAGAAUAGGUUACCAUGGGAUAGAUGACUGGCAAGAAACUCACAAAACUGAAGAACUCAAAAGACCAUUCUUAUUCAUCAUAGUAAAGAAAUCAGAUGUAAGCACUCGGCUACUGUUAUAGUAAUAUGCUGUCCUUCCUACUACUUUGUUCCCUGCCAAGCUGGUCAUGGAUUCUAAGCCUCUCAAAUAGUAACAGCUUUGUUCCUCAUGGCUUGAGACACAUACUGUGUAAACAAACAUUAGAUGAAGUAGAAAGAAACUUCUCAGAGAACUCACCUGUGCUGAAGAUGACAUCUUCCAUCAAGAUUCUAGGCAUGAACUCCAAGACAACUAUCAAAUAAAGAGGGUCCUUUUACUAUCCCCUUUCUUCGGGCUGAAUCCAAGACAUGAGAACACUGGUGAAAGCCAGCUGGAAGAAGCAUCGGUAUGUGUGUGGUAUACACACUUGAAUUCAUACUACCAUAAGUGUGCUAGUGCUCUAUGGAUGAACUCCCCACCAAAAUACAGUAGUAGUUAUAUUUAGUUUGAUGGACCAGUAAGAUGGAGAUAGAAAUUUAGCUCUUCAUUUUCUGCUCAUUUGGGUAUAAUACCUGUUCGUUUG